Molecule: long non-coding RNA, 493 nt
Organism: Pecten maximus
Lineage: Eukaryota; Metazoa; Mollusca; Bivalvia; Pectinida; Pectinidae
Exons: 2
Source: RefSeq, a predicted model, not a curated record
GAAAAUGUUGUUCCCCAACCUGAGGACUUUAGCCCAACUCUACUGUCUGGUACCAGCAUCCACAGCAGAUUGUGAGCGAGGAUUUUCUGCUUUAAAGAGAAUUAAGACCACCAGCAGGAACAGGCUGUCACAGAAGGUUUUGAACUCUCUGAUGAUGGUAUCAACACAGGGACCACCUCCCAGGGAGUUCUCAUACAAGAUGGCUGCUUCUCUGUGGAAGGGCCUGUGUAACAGGAGAGUGACCUUGUCAUAGAGACAUAGUGUUUGAUAUCUAGGAUUUAUUAAUAUAGUGGAGACUUUUUUCAGAACAAGUGACUGUUACAUCAUGUGUGAAAUUAUGUUGUGCAUUUAAAUACUUGCUAUAUUCUUAUGCCAUGAAAUAGUAGCUAUAUAUGUUGAUUUGUAGUUGUACAUAAUUACUUGAUACCUUUUUGAAAUGAUGUUGUGUAUUUAAAUAAUAUUACAUUCUUGUCAUUAAAUAGUUGCUAUAUAA